RNAcentral lists this ribosomal RNA (374 nucleotides) under uncultured organism. RNAcentral describes it as "partial 16S ribosomal RNA". It matches the Rfam family "Bacterial small subunit ribosomal RNA", at positions 527 to 896 of the family's 1533-position model. The record is from RNAcentral.
GUAGGUGGCAAGCGUUGUCCGGAAUUAUUGGGCGUAAAGCGCGCGCAGGCGGUUCUUUAAGUCUGAUGUGAAAGCCCACGGCUCAACCGUGGAGGGUCAUUGGAAACUGGAGAACUUGAGUACAGAAGAGGAGAGCGGAAUUCCACGUGUAGCGGUGAAAUGCGUAGAGAUGUGGAGGAACACCAGUGGCGAAGGCGGCUUUCUGGUCUGUAACUGACGCUGAGGCGCGAAAGCGUGGGGAGCAAACAGGGAUUAGAUACCCUGGUAGUCCACGCCGUAAACGAUGAGUGCUAAGUGUUAGGGGGGUUUCCGCCCCCUUAGUGCUGCAGCUAACGCAUUAAGCACUCCGCCUGGGGAGUACGGCCGCAAGGCUG